AAACUAAAAAUAGCUCAACAUUUAAAUAUCUCUAAACUAUUUUACAGAUAAGACAAAACAUUUAUUAUAAUUAAAGUACUAGGCGAUAGAAAUUCUACUUGACGCUAUAGAGAAAGUACCGCAAGGGAAAACUGAAAGAAAACCACAAGUAAAAAACAGCAAAGCUUAAGACUUGUACCUUUUGCAUAAUGAUUUAACUAGAAUAUAUUAGCAAAAAGAAUUAAAGUUAAGUAACCCGAAACCAGACGAGCUACCUAUCAGCAGCCUAAAGAGCAAACUCGUCUAUGUGGCAAAAUAGUGAGAUGACUGAUAGGUAGUGGCGACAAACCUACCGAGCCUGGUGAUAGCUGGUUGUCCAGGACUGAAUUUUAGUUCUAAAUUAAGUUUACCAAAAAACAAAUAAAUUAUACUGUAAACUUAAAUAGUAAUCUAAAAAGGUACAGCCUUUUAGACACGGGAUACAACCCCUAUUAGAGAGUAAAUUUUUAAUAAACCACAAUAGUUGGCCUAAAAGCAGCCACCAACUAAGAAAGCGUUCAAGCCCAACAGAAAAAAAACUUAAUUUCACAAUAAAAUUAAACUCCCAAUAUAUAACUGGACUAUUCUAUUUCUAAUUAGAAGUAAUAAUGUUAAUAUGAGUAACAAGAAAAAAUUUUCUCCUUGCACAAACGUAUAUCAGAACGAAUAAAUCACUGACAGUUAUCAAAACUAGCAUAUUAAUAAUUAAUCCCCUCAAUACCAAUUGUUAAUCCAACACAGGAGUGCAAAUACCCCAAAGGAAAGAUUAAAAAAAGUAAAAGGAAUUCAGCAAACACAAACCUCGCCUGUUUACCAAAAACAUCACCUCUAGCAUAAAAAGUAUUAGAGGCACUGCCUGCCCAGUGACUUCAGUUUAACGGCCGCGGUAUCCUGACCGUGCAAAGGUAGCAUAAUCAUUUGUUCUCUAAAUAAGGACUCGUAUGAAUGGCUCCACGAGGGUUUUGCUGUCUCUUACUUUAGAUCAGUGAAAUUGACAUCCCCGUGAAGAGGCGGGAAUAAAAAAAUAAGACGAGAAGACCCUAUGGAGCUUUAACUAAUUAACUCAUUAAACCCUAGUCCACUCUCUACAAGAAAUAAACCACUUUUAAUUGAGUUAACAGUUUAGGUUGGGGUGACCUCGGAAUAAAAAUUAACCUCCGAGAAAAAUUAUUAAGACCUACAAGUCAAAAUUACUACACUACACACUGAUCCGCCACUGGCGAUCAACGAAACAAGUUACCCUAGGGAUAACAGCGCAAUCCUAUUUAAGAGUCCAUAUCGACAAUCAGGGUUUACGACCUCGAUGUUGGAUCAGGACAUCCCAAUGGUGCAGCAGCUAUUAAUGUGUUCGUUUGUUCAACGAUUAAAGUCCUACGUGAUCUGAGUUCAGACCGGAGUAAUCCAGGUCGGUUUCUAUCUAUUCAUAAGUUUCUCCCAGUACGAAAGGACCAGAGAAACAAGGCCCACUUAUAAUAAGCGCCCUAACAAAACAGAUGAACUAAUCUUAAUCUUAUAUAAUAUAUUAAUCACCUUAGAUAAAGGGUCAA
RNAcentral lists this ribosomal RNA (1565 nucleotides) under Hypsugo alaschanicus (Alashanian pipistrelle). RNAcentral describes it as "16S ribosomal RNA". It matches the Rfam family "Bacterial large subunit ribosomal RNA". Lineage: Eukaryota; Metazoa; Chordata; Mammalia; Chiroptera; Vespertilionidae. The record is from RNAcentral.